UACACUCCUACGGGAGGCAGCAGUGGGGAAUAUCGCACAAUGGGCGCAAGCCUGAUGCAGCCAUGCCGCGUGUAUGAAGAAGGCCUUCGGGUUGUAAAGUACUUUCAGCGGGGAGGAAGGCGAUAAGGUUAAUAACCUUGUCGAUUGACGUUACCCGCAGAAGAAGCACCGGCUAACUCCGUGCCAGCAGCCGCGGUAAUACGGAGGGUGCAAGCGUUAAUCGGAAUUACUGGGCGUAAAGCGCACGCAGGCGGUCUGUCAAGUCGGAUGUGAAAUCCCCGGGCUCAACCUGGGAACUGCAUUCGAAACUGGCAGGCUAGAGUCUUGUAGAGGGGGGUAGAAUUCCAGGUGUAGCGGUGAAAUGCGUAGAGAUCUGGAGGAAUACCGGUGGCGAAGGCGGCCCCCUGGACAAAGACUGACGCUCAGGUGCGAAAGCGUGGGGAGCAAACAGGAUUAGAUACCCCGGUAGUCCCAUGA
This 477-nucleotide ribosomal RNA is filed under the name uncultured organism. Its description in RNAcentral is "partial 16S ribosomal RNA". It matches the Rfam family "Bacterial small subunit ribosomal RNA", at positions 332 to 800 of the family's 1533-position model. The record is from RNAcentral.